This is a long non-coding RNA of Harmonia axyridis, 2550 nucleotides long. RefSeq lists it as uncharacterized. The record is from RefSeq and is a predicted model, not a curated record. Lineage: Eukaryota; Metazoa; Arthropoda; Insecta; Coleoptera; Coccinellidae. The transcript has 5 exons.
CCCAUCAAUAACAUCCGGUAUGCUGAUGAUACGGUGCUUCUAGCUAGCGAUGAGAAAGAACUCCAGUGCCUGGUGGACAGAGUGAAUAAUGUUGGUCUUAAGUAUGGUCUCAAGAUAAACAUAAAGAAGACAAAAUUUAUGGUCAUCACUAAAAUAAAUAUUGAUCAUGUCAGGAUACGGAUAGAAGAUCAGGAAAUAGAAAGAGUAAGAAGAUUUAAAUACCUGGGAUGCUGGCUGAAUGACGAAUGGGAUCCUGAUGAAGAAAUUAGGAGUAGAAUAGAAAUAGCUAGAAGUACCUUUUUUAAAAUCAAGACAUUGCUUUGCAACCGUGAUCUGAGUUUGACUACUCGAUGGCGAGCCACCAAAUGCUAUGUACUGUCCACACUGUUAUACGGAGUUGAGGGGUGGACGCUGAAGGCGCGGACCAUGUCACGUUUGGAUUCUUUUGAGAUGUGGUUAUACCGACGGAUACUAAAGAUAUCAUGGACCGAACGAGUAACAAAUGAUAGGGUACUCGAAAGAAUGGAUAAAGAACGGGAGCUUUUAACAACAGUAAAGCGAAGAAAAGCAGCUUAUUUCGGCCAUAUUUUCAGGAACAGCAAGUACAGUUUUCUGCAACUAAUCGUUGAGGGAAAGAUCGAAGGACGAAGAGGCGUCGGGCGUAAAAGAUUCUCUUGGCUGCGAAAUCUACGCCAGUGGUUUGAUAUAAGAGAGGCCAGUACGAUCAUCCAUUUGGCACGAGACAGAGAGGAAUUCCAGUUGAUGGUCGCCAACCUCCGUUGAGGAGACGGCACUCAAAGAAGAAGAAAGGUUAAUGAUUUCUGUAACAGGAGGUAUGUUGCAUUGCCGGUAGAUGUCAUGUUAUAGCGUUAAAUUCAAACUUGCAUUUAAAACACAAAAAGUAACAUCAACACGUUCAGUUUUUUCAUUCAUUUUUUUGUAUCUCGGUUAUCAUUCAAUUUGAGUUCUUUUGAAAAUGCAUUUCGAAUAUCGUUCUUUUUCCAUCGUAGCCUCUCACAGAGUAACAACGAAAUUUUGGCGAGCAGUAGAGUUUAAAGUCGGCAUUUUUUGAAAUUUAUUAUGGUAGCUGAAUUAAUUUUUCUGCUAAGGCAAUAAUCAAUUUAAUUUGGAUAGCCUAGUCAAAUCAAGUAUUUAUUUUGUGAGCUACAAUUGAGUGAAAAUCCUCGACAACGAGGAUUUUUAUUAUAUGGUAAUUUUUUUUCUAUUGGACGUAUUGGUAUCAUUCAAGAUCUUCACGAAAAUUGCGAGUUAAUGGUGCAUACCUCCUGGGAAAAUUGUUCAAUUGGUCCUACAUUUGUUGCUAGAGAUUUUCGUACCGUUUCAUUUUGAGUCACUUGGUACAGUUGGCUUGGGGAGGAGAUUCACCCUAAUUUUAAGAUAAGUUCCUUCUCAUGGUUUUUUUUCUUCAUUGUUGAUUAGAUACAAUUUUGGAUAUAAUAUUAAAUUCACCUUUGGCACAUUUCCUUUUCUAAAUUUUUAUUAUAUUUUCUCAUAUUAACAUUACCAAUAUUUAAAUAUUGUAAUUUUCACAUUAUAUUCAGUAUAUUUAAUAUUCCAGAUUUGUAUUCGCAGUUCUCAAAGUUUAGUACUCAUAAUUUCAUAUUGUCUUAUAUUUCAACUUAUCCAAAUUGAGUAUCUUUUUUUAAAUUUUCUUAAUCGUAUAUUUUUCCAAAUUCAACUUCAUCCUUAUUCUUAGAGAUUACAUUCCAUAUUAGCUUGAUACUUUAAAUUUUUCAUCAUUCACAUUUUGACUGCUUUAACUAGAACUUCAUUAUCUAAAUUACUCAUUAGUGUAUAAUUGUCCUAAGUGCACGGUAUUGCAAUCUUUCGAUUCAGUCUAUUAGAACUAAGAAUUAUAUAUUUGUAAGAAACUUAUUAGAUUAUAGUUAUUGUUAUUUCAGAUUUAAAAAUUUAUUUGUGAUUAAAAGUACUUAACCCAACCCUGAUUAAUUAAUUGUUUAUGACUGAUUAAUUGUCUCAUCAGCAACUUUAUAAUUGGAAUUUAUUAUCACAGGUUAUAAUAAAGAAAGUACUACCGUGGCAAUUGGCGCCCAACGUAACAACCAAUACACGAUUAAUCGACAAUUGUACAGGACAUUGUUCAUUACUGAAACCAAGUCAUACUGUUCUUUGAGGAGGAUCAGUUCAUGAUGAGGGAACACCAUCAUUUUGAGCUGUGAAAUUUUCGGUUUUUGAUGACAACAACAAUUUUGAAAUUAAUGAGCCAUCAACAAGUUAACUACAAUGAAGAUGUGGGAUAUUUUAUAGAUGAAACCAUUUCUAGUUCACAAAAUUUCACAUCUAUAAGCAAUGACACAGAAAAUGAUUUGCUGAAAUGUGUAAAACAAUUGAAGACUCUCAAUCCAUAAGGAAAGAGGAGAUUAUUUGCAACUAUCAAUGGAUAAUUUUCCAAACAUAGGGUCAAUGCCAAGAAGAACUAACAUCUAAGAAGUGAAAAUUGAGAAACAAAUCUAUUUCCCAAGAAAAAAAAUUAAUACAGAGACUACCAGAACUUCAUAGCAAAUAAUU